UGACCUGCCAGUCUGCCUGCAGAGAAGAAAACACAGGAAGAGUUAUCAAAAGGCUAAGUAGUCCUUAACAGAUCAUCUUCAUCUUUAAUAGUGUUUACGGUGAAGUAGAACCCUAUACAUACAACAGUAUCUGUAGUAACUGUAAUCCCCCAUAUCUGCAGUUUGUCUUUCAGAAAAAGAAGAGAAGUCUGGAUGAGACAAGGAAAAGAGACAGCAUCCAUUGUGAACCCUCUCCUAAAAAAAGUACUGCCAUCUGUCUUUUAGAGAGAGGGAAGAAAACAACACAAGGAAGAGACAAGGAAAAGACCUGAUGAGACAAGAGGAGGCAGGACAGCGUGCCAUUGUGGACCCUCUACUUUGAAAAGAUGAAUACACAAUUACCCCAUCUUUGUAGUGAAAUCUCUGUCCUGAACAUGAGUUCUUCUGUUUACCUCGUUGAUGAAGUUAUUACCUGCUUUUUUUCUUGAUCUGCCAUUUGUGUUUCACAGGGAGAGGAGAAACCAUGCACUGGGACCCGUCUUCUGUAAAAAGAUAAGUUUACAUAUUAUACCCAAUAUUAUCAGAAUGUCUGUUGUCAUCGAUUGUUCUUAUUUUAAGUGAUUGUUCAAAUUAUUAAUAGUUACGUUAUCCCUAUAUCUGUUGUUUGCUUUGCUUUGAGAGACAAGAAGAAACAGCAAUAACUAGAAACUCUGUCACUUAGAUUCUUUUUCCUGCUGUAAUAAUUCCUAUAGUAUUCCUAUAUUGACAAGACAAGAAGCCAGCAUGCUUUCUGAAAACAUUUGUCUUUUAGAGACAGGAGACACCAGGAGACAAGACAAAGACCAGGCGUGAAAAGCAGCGGAGAAACAGCAGGGUAAAGCUGCUGCAGCAGGACCAUCAGAGACACUACUGACCUGAAGAUGACACAGCUACACGGCUCUCGCACAUGCCACCAAAAUUUCCCCCGCCCCCAUUCAUUUCCACACGGCUCCCCAGCAACAUGGAGAGACACAGCGGGGACAGCACCGGUCCACACUUCUGACAUUUUUCCGCAGUUUGAAUUGUUACUAACACAGCUUUAUGUUGUUAAGCAUGAGAGGCAAACCUGUAGGCUCAUUUGUGCCAGUGUUUCCGCUGGUAACUCUGUUAUUGCGGCCGCCAGGGCAAAAGAACAGAAGACGUUACUGAAAUCAACUAACUUCAGUUGGUAGAGUAAUAGCGUGUGAGACGGAGCCUGCUGGACCUGGGUGAGAGAUGUGACCCAUGGUGACAUUAUCAUAGUUAAUAUAAAAUGCAGCGCAAUGACGAUACAGACAUUACAUAUACACAAGACGUGUGUGACUCCGCUGACCCGCCAAAGCGCAUUUGACACGUGCUGGACCCAUUCAUAAUUCUUCAGUCCAUCGCACUCCUCCCUAUGUCUGUCCAUCAAUUUUUUUUUUUUCAUUUUCGGACUUUAUUUUGAUAGGAAAGACAUGAAAGGGGAAAGAGGGGGGGAUGACAUGCAGGAAAGGGCCGCAGCUCGGAGUCAAACCCUGCCGAGGACUAAACCUC
This is a long non-coding RNA of Etheostoma spectabile (orangethroat darter), 1533 nucleotides long. RefSeq lists it as uncharacterized. The transcript has 3 exons. Lineage: Eukaryota; Metazoa; Chordata; Actinopteri; Perciformes; Percidae. The record is from RefSeq and is a predicted model, not a curated record.